GACGAACGCUGGCGGCGUGCCUAAUACAUGCAAGUUGAGCGCUGAAGGUUGGUACUUGUACCAACUGGAUGAGCAGCGAACGGGUGAGUAACGCGUGGGGAAUCUGCCUUUGAGCGGGGGACAACAUUUGGAAACGAAUGCUAAUACCGCAUAAAAACUUUAAACACAAGUUUUAAGUUUGAAAGAUGCAAUUGCAUCACUCAAAGAUGAUCCCGCGUUGUAUUAGCUAGUUGGUGAGGUAAAGGCUCACCAAGGCGAUGAUACAUAGCCGACCUGAGAGGGUGAUCGGCCACAUUGGGACUGGGACAAGGCCCAAACUCCUACGGGAGGCAGCAGUAGGGAAUCUUCGGCAAUGGACGAAAGUCUGACCGAGCAACGCCGCGUGAGUGAAGAAGGUUUUCGGAUCGUAAAACUCUGUUGGUAGAGAAGAACGUUGGUGAGAGUGGAAAGCUCAUCAAGUGACGGUAACUACACAGAAAGGGACGGCUAACUACGUG
Molecule: ribosomal RNA, 497 nt
Filed under: uncultured bacterium
Lineage: Bacteria
Description: partial 16S ribosomal RNA
Rfam family: Bacterial small subunit ribosomal RNA
Source: RNAcentral